CGGAGGGUGCAAGCGUUAUCCGGAUUUAUUGGGUUUAAAGGGUCCGUAGGCGGAUCCGUAAGUCAGUGGUGAAAUCUCACAGCUUAACUGUGAAACUGCCAUUGAUACUGCGGGUCUUGAGUAAGGUAGAAGUGGCUGGAAUAAGUAGUGUAGCGGUGAAAUGCAUAGAUAUUACUUAGAACACCAAUUGCGAAGGCAGGUCACUAUGUCUUGACUGACGCUGAUGGACGAAAGCGUGGGGAGCGAACAGGAUUAGAUACCCUGGUAGUCCACGCCGUAAACGAUGCUAACUCGUUUUUGGGCUUUCGGGUUCAGAGACUAAGCGAAAGUGAUAAGUUAGCCACCUGGGGAGUACGUUCGCAAGAAUG
RNAcentral lists this ribosomal RNA (368 nucleotides) under uncultured organism. RNAcentral describes it as "bacterial SSU rRNA". It matches the Rfam family "Bacterial small subunit ribosomal RNA", at positions 526 to 896 of the family's 1533-position model. The record is from RNAcentral.